Molecule: ribosomal RNA, 335 nt
Filed under: Enterococcus faecium
Lineage: Bacteria; Bacillati; Bacillota; Bacilli; Lactobacillales; Enterococcaceae
Also listed under: 1 other name
Description: bacterial SSU rRNA
Rfam family: Bacterial small subunit ribosomal RNA
Source: RNAcentral
UUUUAUGAGAGUUUGAUCCUGGCUCAGGACGAACGCUGGCGGCGUGCCUAAUACAUGCAAGUCGAACGCUUCUUUUUCCACCGGAGCUUGCUCCACCGGAAAAAGAAGAGUGGCGAACGGGUGAGUAACACGUGGGUAACCUGCCCAUCAGAAGGGGAUAACACUUGGAAACAGGUGCUAAUACCGUAUAACAAUCGAAACCGCAUGGUUUUGAUUUGAAAGGCGCUUUCGGGUGUCGCUGAUGGAUGGACCCGCGGUGCAUUAGCUAGUUGGUGAGGUAACGGCUCACCAAGGCCACGAUGCAUAGCCGACCUGAGAGGGUGAUCGGCCACAUU